Molecule: ribosomal RNA, 700 nt
Filed under: uncultured bacterium
Lineage: Bacteria
Description: bacterial SSU rRNA
Rfam family: Bacterial small subunit ribosomal RNA
Source: RNAcentral
CAUACACGUCGAACGGCAGCACAGAGGAGCUUGCUCCUUGGGUGGCGAGUGGCGGACGGGUGAGGAAUACAUCGGAAUCUACUCUGUCGUGGGGGAUAACGUAGGGAAACUUACGCUAAUACCGCAUACGACCUACGGGUGAAAGCAGGGGAUCUUCGGACCUUGCGCGAUUGAAUGAGCCGAUGUCGGAUUAGCUAGUUGGCGGGGUAAAGGCCCACCAAGGCGACGAUCCGUAGCUGGUCUGAGAGGAUGAUCAGCCACACUGGAACUGAGACACGGUCCAGACUCCUACGGGAGGCAGCAGUGGGGAAUAUUGGACAAUGGGCGCAAGCCUGAUCCAGCCAUACCGCGUGGGUGAAGAAGGCCUUCGGGUUGUAAAGCCCUUUUGUUGGGAAAGAAAUCCAGCCGGCUAAUACCUGGUUGGGAUGACGGUACCCAAAGAAUAAGCACCGGCUAACUUCGUGCCAGCAGCCGCGGUAAUACGAAGGGUGCAAGCGUUACUCGGAAUUACUGGGCGUAAAGCGUGCGUAGGUGGUUAUUUAAGUCCGUUGUGAAAGCCCUGGGCUCAACCUGGGAACUGCGGUGGAUACUUGGAUGACUAGAAUGUGGUAGAGGGUAGCGGAAUUCCUGGUGUACAGUGAAAUGCGUAAAGANCAGGAGGAACAUUCCAUNGCCAAGGCNCUUCCUGGACCAACAUUGA